CCUGGCCUGAGUCACUAAGAAAUUUGGGCUGCUGGGAAUAUGCUGUCUGCCAUUAGGCUGGGAGAUGAGAGUGUUUGCUGGCUUGGAAAAGGAUGAUCCACAGGCCUCUGUCAUGCUGGCAUCUGGAGGGACUUGUCUCCUGGUGAGAAGAGCACAUUGGAUUCCUGUUUUCUGAGAAAAGUAGAAGAUGAAGAGGUAUCUUCAAUAAAGACAGUUCUUCCAGUAUGACUACAUCAAACUGCUGAGAUAUCAACUGCUUCCUAGUAAAUACAGUGAAGUGCAGGACCUCAGAAUACCAGGAAUCCUUCUGGUGAGAGUUGAUAUUUCAAGCCCUUCG
Gallus gallus (chicken) is the source of this 337-nucleotide long non-coding RNA. The record is from Ensembl. Lineage: Eukaryota; Metazoa; Chordata; Aves; Galliformes; Phasianidae.